RNAcentral lists this ribosomal RNA (456 nucleotides) under Leifsonia shinshuensis. Its description in RNAcentral is "bacterial SSU rRNA". It matches the Rfam family "Bacterial small subunit ribosomal RNA", at positions 8 to 461 of the family's 1533-position model. Lineage: Bacteria; Bacillati; Actinomycetota; Actinomycetes; Micrococcales; Microbacteriaceae. The record is from RNAcentral.
AGAGUUUGAUCAUGGCUCAGGACGAACGCUGGCGGCGUGCUUAACACAUGCAAGUCGAACGAUGAACCUGGAGCUUGCUCUAGGGAAUUAGUGGCGAACGGGUGAGUAACACGUGAGUAACCUGCCCUUGACUCUGGGAUAACCUCCGGAAACGGAAGCUAAUACCGGAUACGACGUACGGAGGCAUCUCCUGUACGUGGAAAGAACUUCGGUCAAGGAUGGACUCGCGGCCUAUCAGGUAGUUGGUGAGGUAACGGCCCACCAAGCCUACGACGGGUAGCCGGCCUGAGAGGGUGACCGGCCACACUGGGACUGAGACACGGCCCAGACUCCUACGGGAGGCAGCAGUGGGGAAUAUUGCACAAUGGGCGCAAGCCUGAUGCAGCAACGCCGCGUGAGGGAUGACGGCCUUCGGGUUGUAAACCUCUUUUAGUUAGGGAAGAAGCGAAAGAGACG